Molecule: ribosomal RNA, 427 nt
Filed under: uncultured bacterium
Lineage: Bacteria
Description: bacterial SSU rRNA
Rfam family: Bacterial small subunit ribosomal RNA
Source: RNAcentral
UGGGGAAUUUUGGACAAUGGGCGAAAGCCUGAUCCAGCCAUGCCGCGUGAGUGAAGAAGGCCUUCGGGUUGUAAAGCUCUUUUAGUCGGAAAGAAAGAGUUGCAAUGAAUAAUUGUGAUUUAUGACGGUACCGACAGAAAAAGCACCGGCUAACUACGUGCCAGCAGCCGCGGUAAUACGUAGGGUGCGAGCGUUAAUCGAAAUUACUGGGCGUAAAGGGUGCGCAGGCGGUCUUGCAAGUCAGAUGUGAAAGCCCCGGGCUUAACCUGGGAAUUGCGUUUGAAACUACAAGGCUAGAGUGCAGCAGAGGGGAGUGGAAUUCCAUGUGUAGCAGUGAAAUGCGUAGAGAUGUGGAAGAACACCGAUGGCGAAGGCAGCUCCCUGGGUCGACACUGACGCUCAUGCACGAAAGCGUGGGGAGCAAACA